UAUGCUGGGAUCCAACCUCUUGAUGCCAUAAACAAUGAGGUUGUAGAGGCCACCCGUGUAACAAGGCAUAAAAACCAACGGGCCCUGCAGUGGGAGGCAGGCAUGUAUGCCAACCAGGAGAGCUAAUGAAUCAGCACAAA
Sinocyclocheilus rhinocerous is the source of this 140-nucleotide long non-coding RNA. RefSeq lists it as uncharacterized. Lineage: Eukaryota; Metazoa; Chordata; Actinopteri; Cypriniformes; Cyprinidae. The record is from RefSeq and is a predicted model, not a curated record. The transcript is spliced from 2 exons.